Molecule: long non-coding RNA, 1850 nt
Filed under: Capsicum annuum
Lineage: Eukaryota; Viridiplantae; Streptophyta; Magnoliopsida; Solanales; Solanaceae
Description: long non-coding RNA (CANN_LNC009679)
Source: RNAcentral
UGCCACUAUCUCAUCAGCUGGUCCCUCUGCAUCACAGGUAAUCUGAUUAUGUAAUUCUGAUAACUGCAAAGAUAAACUUAAGUACGGAGGGUAGAUCAUUUUAUAUAACUUGUGCCAUAGUUCCUGAGAUUCUUUCCAGUAUAAACGUGGCUCUACACUGGAAUUACUGAUGGAGUGUCAUUAAGCUUUGAUUCCAAAAUGUAAUAUGAAGAUUACUGAAUUUAUAGGAGUAUUUUAUUCGCCAUAUGGAUGGUUGCACUCUGGAAUCUGAAGCGGAGAAGGAAAGGGUUGUGAAGUGUAUUGAAGCUGCAAUUCGACGAAGGAUAAGUGAUGUAAGGGAGAUUACCUACUCUUCUUAGUCCUGAACGUUUCUCAAGAUUCGAUGCCACCAGGUAGAACAUACUUAAUUCCUUUGAUAUGCAGGGUUUCAGCCUAGAGCUGUGUGCCAAGGACCGAGUUGGCUUACUUUCUGAAGUUACAAGAGUCCUACGAGAAAAUGGGCUAUCAGUGACCAGAGCUGGUGUCACAACUAUUGGGGAGAAAGCAAAGAAUGUCUUCUACAUAAGAGAUGCAUCUGGAAAACCUGUCGAGAUGAAGACGAUUGAAAGACUGCGUGAGGAAAUUGGACAGACGAUGAUGCUUAAUGUGAAGAAAGACCCAACAUCUGCAAAGGUACCUGAAACUGGUGGUCUGGCUAAGACAAGCUUUUUCUUUGGAGGCUUACUGGAAAAGUUCCUAACUUAAAAGUUCAUCUGUUGUGAGCUUACCUACUUAUAUAGAAGAAUAAAGCAAUUAAUUAUAAGUCAAACGCAUAAAUGUGGCAAGGUUUCCCUGUAAAAAUAUGUGUAGAUACAUUGGACAAUUAUCCUUGCCAGGAUAAACAAAGGGAAAAAGAUUGGAAGAAAAAAGAACCUGCCCCAUUCAGUCUUAUUCUGUGCUGAAGUGUGGAAUUAUCCGAUGACUGUGUGCUGUUCUUGCACAAUAAAAGAUGAAAGUAUGACUUUAGGAUUAAAACUUUGGUCCAGAAAUGCUACUAUUGAAGAUUGAACAAAGAAAGCCAAUACAUUUUAGUGUACUUGAUCUUGAUGUCUAUGUUGUGUAGUUGUAGCAGCCCAAAAAUGAGCUGCUGACAUUGUUGUGAUUUUAACCUUUAGCUCCUUCAGUUUAUUAGCUGGUUGAGUAUUUUCCCUUCAUUUGUCAGUUAACUGGAAGUAUGCUUAGGUCAAUGUUUGUAACUUUAAUUUUAAUUAGUUCCUCCUAUGCUAUCUACAUGCUAGUAGAAAAUAUAACAUUGGUCAAAUGUAAAAAUACCAAACAUUGAUCCAAUCUAGUUAAACUCCUUCAAGCAGGGGUAGAUACACCAGCUUCCUCUGACAGCUGUCUCGGGACAGCGCUUCUGUCACGAACCGAGCCGAGGCCAUCGCCGCGAUGGGUUUCCGAACCACGAAGGCCUGAGAGACCCCUUAGCAUACUAUCAUAAGCAUAAUCUAUACAUAAAUCAAAGUGUGGAAGAGAUAACAAAAUUCAAGUUGAUCCUAUGAUCAAUAUAUGUCAAUAAAGUUAUGUCAAUACAACACUCAAAUUCCGUCUACAAAGCCUCUACUGUCGAGAUGAAGACUAUUGAAAGACUGCGUGAGGAAAUUGGACAGACGAUGAUGCUUAAUGUGAAGAAAGACCCAACAUCUGCAAAGGUACCUGAAACUGGUGGUCCGGUUAAGACAAGCUUUUUCUUUGGAGGCUUACUGGAAAAGUUCCUAACUUAAAAGUUCAUCUGUUGUGAGCUUACCUACUUAUAUAGAAGAAUAAAGCACUUAAUUAUAAGUCAAACGCAUAAAUGUGGCAAGGUUUCC